Molecule: long non-coding RNA, 131 nt
Organism: Octopus sinensis (East Asian common octopus)
Lineage: Eukaryota; Metazoa; Mollusca; Cephalopoda; Octopoda; Octopodidae
Exons: 3
Source: RefSeq, a predicted model, not a curated record
CAUUGUAAAGUGAAACAGUGGUUGAGAUCUGCAAACAGUUUUGAGUAGGAACCAGAAAAAGAAGUAUGAACAUGCAAUGUGCAUGUGCACACUGAAUUCGUCAAAAACAGAAGAAAAGAAUAAAAACGGAA